CUAUGCAUGGAGAUUUCAGCUCAGUCCUGGACAGUCAGAGCAUUCUCAUACAUAGGAAAUGGAGCUAUUCACCGAAGACCAAUAACAAGGAGUAAAUGGCAAAUGCAAGCCUAUAAUCCCCAAUUCCAAGUCUUGGAAACACAGCGGCCAACAUCAUAUCCAGAGGGAAGCUUCCAGUGAACAUGAGGUAUCCAGCCAGGAGGAACACAAGAGGAUAAGAUCAACAUGGGGCUUGAAAGAGUAUCUUCAGCUGGAAAAAUAAAAU
Pundamilia nyererei is the source of this 265-nucleotide long non-coding RNA. RefSeq lists it as uncharacterized. The transcript is spliced from 3 exons. NCBI's taxonomy places the organism in Eukaryota, Metazoa, Chordata, Actinopteri, Cichliformes, Cichlidae. The record is from RefSeq and is a predicted model, not a curated record.